This 262-nucleotide ribosomal RNA is filed under the name uncultured bacterium. RNAcentral's name for it is "partial 16S ribosomal RNA". It matches the Rfam family "Bacterial small subunit ribosomal RNA", at positions 793 to 1055 of the family's 1533-position model. The record is from RNAcentral.
GUCCACGCCGUAAACGAUGUCUACUGGUUGUUGGGAGAGCAAUCUCUUGGUAACGAAGCUAACGCGUGAAGUAGACCGCCUGGGGAGUACGGUCGCAAGAUUAAACUCAAAGGAAUUGACGGGGACCCGCACAAGCGGUGGAUGAUGUGGAUUAAUUCGAUGCAACGCGAAAACCUUACCUAGCCUUGACAUGCCGAGAAUCCUUGAGAGAUCAGGGAGUGCCCGCAAGGGAAUUCGGACACAGGUGCUGCAUGGCUGUCGU